RNAcentral lists this long non-coding RNA (555 nucleotides) under Phoenix dactylifera (date palm). RNAcentral's name for it is "long non-coding RNA (PDAC_LNC013248)". Lineage: Eukaryota; Viridiplantae; Streptophyta; Magnoliopsida; Arecales; Arecaceae. The record is from RNAcentral.
ACAGGCCCUGUCACGGGAUUAUAGUGACCAUAGCAGCACAUCCGUUUGAGAGUAUGUUUUAUAAAGUAUGGAUAAAUGGCAAUAUUUCUAUAUGACUUGCAUUAUCAUGGUUAUGAAUUUUCAUGGAUGGAUCAUGCAUUGCUUUAUGACCUGAUUUGUGUAUAUCAUCUAUAAAAUAUUUUAUUUUACUAUAACUGUUGGCUUUUUAAUCACUGCAUUGGCAUAAUUGUACUUGAUCCAAUAAGAUAGUACCUGGUUACUUACUGAGCUGUGUAGCUCAUAUCUUUUUAUCUAUUUUUUUUACAGAUGAAUAAGAUUACUAGGAGCAGGGAGCUUGGUGUUAUUCAGGGUUGGAGUAAUUGAAAAUAUUAUGUAAUAAUUAAAUUUUAGAAGCUCUGUACUGUUCCAACUUCAUGAACAAUGUUAUGACAUUAGUAAUAUUUAUUUUCAUGACGAAAUUUUAAGUGGCUUCGUAUUAUUGUGUGCAUAAGAUUGCAAUAGCACGGCCGUGUCAUGAUCCGGAUUUGGGUCGUGACAUAAUCAAUUUUAUCUUCC